UACUAUACUAGUUGAAUAUUAUGAAAAAUCUGAAUUAUUAAUAGAUAUGGUCUUUAAAUUUGAAGAAUUUGGCGGUAAUUUAGUCUUGUUAGAGGAACCUGUUUUUGAAUCGAUACACCACGUAGAAUCUUACUCAUCAUUACAAAGCUUAUAUACCAUCAUUAGUAGAUAAUUUUUAAAAAACUAAUUAUUAAAAUUUAAAAAGAGAUUAAUUUAAAUUAGAUCAAGGUGUAGCCUAUAGGUGAGUUAAAAUGGGUUACAAUAAAAUUUAUUUAGAACGGAACAAAUAUAAGAAAAAUUGAUUUGUAGAAGGAGGAUUUAAUUGUAAUAAAAGUUUAAUAAGCUUGAAAGAUAUAAGCUCUAAAUUAU
RNAcentral lists this ribosomal RNA (369 nucleotides) under Eurytium limosum (broadback mud crab). Its description in RNAcentral is "partial 12S ribosomal RNA". The record is from RNAcentral. Lineage: Eukaryota; Metazoa; Arthropoda; Malacostraca; Decapoda; Panopeidae.